Molecule: ribosomal RNA, 253 nt
Filed under: uncultured bacterium
Lineage: Bacteria
Description: partial 16S ribosomal RNA
Rfam family: Bacterial small subunit ribosomal RNA
Source: RNAcentral
UACGUAGGGGGCAAGCGUUGUCCGGAAUCAUUGGGCGUAAAGAGCGCGUAGGCGGUCCGGUAAGUCCGCUCUGAAAGUCCGGGGCUCAACCCCGGGAGGCGGGCGGAUACUGUCGGGCUAGAGUCCGGAAGAGGCGAGUGGAAUUCCUGGUGUAGCGGUGAAAUGCACAGAUAUCAGGAGGAACACCGGUGGCGAAGGCGGGUCUCUGGGCCGAUAUUGACGCUGAGGAGCGAAAGCGUGGGGAGCGAACAGG